RNAcentral lists this ribosomal RNA (253 nucleotides) under uncultured bacterium. RNAcentral describes it as "partial 16S ribosomal RNA". It matches the Rfam family "Bacterial small subunit ribosomal RNA", at positions 524 to 776 of the family's 1533-position model. The record is from RNAcentral.
UACGUAGGCAGCAAACGUUGUUCGGAAUUAUUGGGCGUAAAGCGUGUGUAGGCGGCUUUGUAAGUUUGGUGUGAAAUCUCCCGGCUUAACUGGGAGGGUGCGCCGAAUACUGCAAGGCUUGAGUACUGGAGAGGAUAGCGGAAUUCCUGGUGUAGCGGUGAAAUGCGUAGAUAUCAGGAGGAACACCGGCGGUGUAGACGGCUAUCUGGACAGUAACUGACGCUGAGACACGAAAGCGUGGGUAGCAAACAGG